Molecule: ribosomal RNA, 323 nt
Filed under: uncultured bacterium
Lineage: Bacteria
Description: bacterial SSU rRNA
Rfam family: Bacterial small subunit ribosomal RNA
Source: RNAcentral
AACGAACGCUGGCGGCGUGGAUAAGACAUGCAAGUCGAGCGGGAACUUUUUUGGUAGCAAUACCGAAAAAGUUCUAGCGGCGAACGGGUGCGUAACACGUGGACAAUCUGCCUUAAAGUGGGGGAUAGCUCGGCGAAAGCCGAAUUAAUACCGCAUGUGAUGAGAGACGACAUCGUCUUGAAAUCAAAGCCGGGGCAACCUGGCGCUUUUUGAGGAGUCCGCGGCCUAUCAGCUUGUUGGUGAGGUAACGGCUCACCAAGGCUAUGACGGGUAGCUGGUCUGAGAGGACGACCAGUCACACUGGAACUGAGACACGGUCCAGA